RNAcentral lists this ribosomal RNA (380 nucleotides) under uncultured bacterium. RNAcentral's name for it is "bacterial SSU rRNA". It matches the Rfam family "Bacterial small subunit ribosomal RNA", at positions 518 to 898 of the family's 1533-position model. The record is from RNAcentral.
CGGUAAUACGUAGGCAGCAAGCGUUGUUCGGAAUUACUGGGCGUAAAGAGUGCGUAGGCGGUGCUCUAGGUUUGGUGUGAAAUCUCCCGGCUUAACUGGGUGGGUGCGCCGAAGACUGGAGAACUUGAGUGUGGGAGAGGAAAGCGGAAUUCCUGGUGUAGCGGUGAAAUGCGUAGAUAUCAGGAGGAACACCUGCGGUGUAGACAGCUUUCUGGACCACCACUGACGCUGAGGCACGAAAGCGUGGGUAGCAAACAGGAUUAGAUACCCUGGUAGUCCACGCCCUAAACGAUGCAUACUUGGUGUGGGCAGUUCAUUCUGUCCGUGCCGGAGCUAACGCGUUAAGUAUGCCGCCUGGGGAGUACGGUCGCAAGGCUGAA